UGGGGAAUAUUGGACAAUGGGCGAAAGCCUGAUCCAGCCAUGCCGCGUGUGUGAAGAAGGUCUUCGGAUUGUAAAGCACUUUAAGUUGGGAGGAAGGGCAGUAAGCGAAUACCUUGCUGUUUUGACGUUACCGACAGAAUAAGCACCGGCUAACUCUGUGCCAGCAGCCGCGGUAAUACAGAGGGUGCAAGCGUUAAUCGGAAUUACUGGGCGUAAAGCGCGCGUAGGUGGUUCGUUAAGUUGAAUGUGAAAGCCCCGGGCUCAACCUGGGAACUGCAUCCAAAACUGGCGAGCUAGAGUAGGGCAGAGGGUGGUGGAAUUUCCUGUGUAGCGGUGAAAUGCGUAGAUAUAGGAAGGAACACCAGUGGCGAAGGCGACCAACUGGGCUCCUACUGACACUGAGGUGCGAAAGCGUGGGGAGCAAACAGG
Molecule: ribosomal RNA, 429 nt
Filed under: Pseudomonadota bacterium
Lineage: Bacteria; Pseudomonadati; Pseudomonadota
Description: Proteobacteria bacterium partial 16S ribosomal RNA
Rfam family: Bacterial small subunit ribosomal RNA
Source: RNAcentral